Molecule: unclassified non-coding RNA, 253 nt
Filed under: uncultured Bryobacterales bacterium
Lineage: Bacteria; Pseudomonadati; Acidobacteriota; Terriglobia; Bryobacterales
Description: contains 16S-23S intergenic spacer region
Rfam family: Bacterial small subunit ribosomal RNA
Source: RNAcentral
UACGUAGGCAGCAAGCGUUGUUCGGAAUUACUGGGCGUAAAGCGAGUGUAGGCGGGUUGCCAAGUCUGCCGUGAAAUCUCCCGGCUCAACUGGGAGGGUGCGGCGGAAACUGGCAGGCUAGAGUGCGGAAGAGGAAAGUGGAAUUCCUGGUGUAGCGGUGAAAUGCGUAGAUAUCAGGAGGAACACCGGUGGUGAAGACGGCUUUCUGGACCGCCACUGACGCUGAGACUCGAAAGCGUAGGUAGCGAACAGG